AGUUUAUAUAAUAGAAUUUGUUUGUUUUGCAUCUAAAUCUAUCUGCUCGUAGUUGGAUAUAUCCAAGCAGUUUGUCUUGUUAGGAUCGUAUGUAUUAUAUUUAUGGAAAUGUCUUUCAGCCUGAAGGAUCCCAGUGCACUUAUGAAUACUUUAAUUCAUUACUGGAAUGAAUUCUCUUCCCAAUAAAUCAGGAGAAUGAAAGCACCAACUUUGCUGCUAGUGACCUGACUAGGAACUGCAACUAAUGUCUACUUCUUCACAGCACAUAGUCUCUCAGAUUUUCCGAUCACUGUCAUUGAUCAGUCAUCAGAUUUAUUGUGAAUUUGUAUCUCUUUUUGCAUCUUUGCUUCUUAGAGCUAGCAGAGCUUUCCAGAGAUUUCCCUCACCUGCUUGCCUCAUACAGCUGCCUCCUUAUGGAUGGUCUGCUUCUCCUCUUUCAUUUACAAUAUUAUCUUUCAAAAGACCAAAUAAAUGCAGCUUUG
Long non-coding RNA from Cygnus atratus (black swan), 482 nucleotides. RefSeq lists it as uncharacterized. The record is from RefSeq and is a predicted model, not a curated record. NCBI's taxonomy places the organism in Eukaryota, Metazoa, Chordata, Aves, Anseriformes, Anatidae. The transcript has 3 exons.